ACAGAGAUCCACUUGUCUCUACCUCCUGAGUGUUGGGAUUAAAGGCGUGCGCCACCACCAACGGCUUCAAGUUUCUUAAGUAGAUCUUUGGGCCUCUGUCCUGCCACUCACAAGGACAGAGCACUUCAGUGGCCAGGCUAGGACACAGCAGCUCAUAAUCAGCUGCGGCUUUUAUCCCCACCAUAUAUCAGGCUAUCCAGGAGUAACCACAGGCAAAUGACAGCUAUAGUCUACCUACUUCAUAACCUGCUCCCUCUCCUGGCUAAGACCAGUGGGCAUGGACGCCAAAAGAGCAAGGGUCAGAGCAAGGGCAGAUUCCAGAUCUGAACCAGAUAUUCCCAGGGAACAGUCCCCUCCCAACCUGCCCCACCCAACCCAGGGCCACAGAGUCUACUGGUCACGGUCACGUUGGAGUGGUAAAGGAAGAAGACACUCACCAGAAUUUUCCCUUUCCUGUUUUCAAACUGCUAUUGAUUUUGGGGAACCGGACGGUGGAGAAUGGUGCUGCUGAUGAUGGGGAGAAGGGGCCACUCAGUCUGGCUCCAGAAGGACCUUUGGGAGAUGGAUGUGUGAAGAGCCUACUUUGGACAGCACUUCACACAGUAAAGGGUGGUCCACACCCCUCCUCAGCCCCCAA
Peromyscus maniculatus bairdii (prairie deer mouse) is the source of this 637-nucleotide non-coding RNA. Lineage: Eukaryota; Metazoa; Chordata; Mammalia; Rodentia; Cricetidae. The record is from RefSeq and is a predicted model, not a curated record.